Hydra vulgaris (swiftwater hydra) is the source of this 393-nucleotide long non-coding RNA. RefSeq lists it as uncharacterized. Lineage: Eukaryota; Metazoa; Cnidaria; Hydrozoa; Anthoathecata; Hydridae. The record is from RefSeq and is a predicted model, not a curated record.
UUUAUAAUAGAUUGGUUGUUUAUUUGUCUUAAGUAUGUUGCAAUGAUUUUUUCUAAUAGGUUGGUUGUUUAUUUGUCUUACAUAUGUUGCAAAGAAGUUUCAUAAUAAAUUGGUUGUAUAUUUGUCUUACGUUUGUUGCAAAAAGUUUUUAUAAAAGAAUGGCUGUUUAUUUGUCUUAGGUAUGAUGCAAAGAAAAUAUUUAAUAGAAAGAAAUUUUAUAAUAGAUAGGUCGCUUAUUUGCCUUACAUAUGUUGCAAUAAAACUUCAUAAUCAAUUGGUUGUUUACUUGUGUUAGUUUUAGGAAUGAUGCUUAGAAGUUUUAUAUUGGGUUAGUUGUUUUUUUGUCUUACAAAUGUUGCAAAGAAGUUUUAUAAUAGAUUGGUUGUUUAUUUG